UACGGGGGAGCAAGCGUUGUUCGGAUUUACUGGGCGUAAAGGGCGCGUAGGCGGUCGUGACAAGUCACUUGUGAAAUCUCCGGGCUUAACUCGGAACGGUCAAGUGAUACUGUCGGACUAGAGUACAGAAGGGGCAACUGGAAUUCUCGGUGUAGCGGUGAAAUGCGUAGAUAUCGAGAGGAAUACCUGCGGCGAAGGCGGGUUGCUGGGCUGAUACUGACGCUGAGGCGCGAAAGCCAGGGGAGCGAACGGG
This 253-nucleotide ribosomal RNA is filed under the name uncultured bacterium. RNAcentral describes it as "partial 16S ribosomal RNA". It matches the Rfam family "Bacterial small subunit ribosomal RNA", at positions 524 to 776 of the family's 1533-position model. The record is from RNAcentral.